UGAGGAACCCACCCCGGAGACCGGGAUAACCCUCCGGAAGGAGAGCUAAUACCGGAUGUCCUCAUCGGAUCGCAUGUUCUGAUGAGGAAAUGGAUUCCGCUCCGGGACGGCCUCGCGGCCUAUCAGCUAGUUGGUGAGGUAACGGCCCACCAAGGCGACGACGGGUAGCUGGU
Molecule: ribosomal RNA, 173 nt
Filed under: uncultured bacterium
Lineage: Bacteria
Description: partial 16S ribosomal RNA
Rfam family: Bacterial small subunit ribosomal RNA
Source: RNAcentral